AUGCUCAGCUCCUCCUGGUUCAGGAUCUGCUGCCAAUCUGGACCUCGCAAACUGGUUCUCACACAGCUCCCGCCUAGCGCCUCCCUCUCAGCAUUUAUUGUCCCUCCUCAGCCACCGAGCCCCAGCCCCGCUCCCAUGCCACCGCCCCGGGUGCCCCUCGCUCCUUCGGGCGCUUCUGUCCCGAGCCCAGCCACCAAGUUUGCCGGGGCAAGAUUUAUUCCUGGCGAAUUCCCCGGGGGCCGGCAGCUGGAGGAGCCCGGCACGGCCCCACCGCCUGCAGCGGAGCAGCCUCCCUCUCUCCCGCAGCUGAAGAUCUCAUCUCCCUCGCCCAAGGCGCUCCUCCGUCCUCCUCCAGAUAUUUUAGGCCCAGGUUUUGCGAGGAAUUUACAGGCGCCGAGCCCAAGCCGAUGCGCUGAAGUCAGCAGGAGGCGAGGAGCGUGCGCAGGGCUCGGGGCCCCGGGGGCGGCGGCGCGGGGAAGGGAUGCUGCUCCCGCCGCCUGGAGCUCGUUUCGCCGCGGGAAGGGCAGAGGUUGGGGCUGGCGGCUGCCAGAUCCGCUCUGCUCUCCCUCCGCCAGGACCGACACCACCUUUCGCCUCUCCCUCAUCUCCCCCGCGUCGUGCCAGGCGAGGCCGUGCCGGCCCUCACGCCUGCACCGGGUCGGUUUUUGGAUAGGGAAGGGGGGUCCCCACGCCCGGGUACCCCCACGGUGCCACAACCCCUACCAGCACCCAUCUGGGGCCCACCUUUGCCGCGCUCCAGCCCCAUCGCCGCACGCUGCCCGUGCCCGUGCCGACCCCUCCUGCUCACGCCUGCUGCCCCCCGUUUCCCCGCAUCGCCCGAGCCCCCCGAACCCCCACCACCUCGACGUUCCCCUGGGGGCUUCGCCCCGGCACGGAGGGAGUCCCCGGCUCUGCGCCUGCCUUUGUCACGGCCCCGCUGGCACGCACCCGUCCUACGUGCUCCGACAGGUGAGCCCCCGGGGCAGCGUUCCUGCCUGGGCCAGUAACUGUCCCCACCGGGCAGCCGGUUCCACCCGGCACGUCCCUCCCUCCUUCCCCUUGCUGCAUCCCGGCCGGCGAGGCGCACGGGGAAAAAGGGGGGGGGCCGGCGGAUUUAAUGAGCUCCCCGGAGGCAUCACCGCGCGCCCCCCUCCCGCGCCCGGCGAGCGUGGCUCUGAAACACAACCCUCGGUGGCAGGGCUGGAAAAAAAAAACCAACAAAAAAAAAAAACCACAGGGCACAUCGCUCUUCCCCCCCCCUCCUCCUCUCUUCCCCGCCUCCCCCAGCUUUUUUUUGCUCUCCUGCCGAUGCCAAAGACCCAGCCGGGCUCUUGUGCUUUCACUCGCAGCUGCAGCUGCCGAUUUUCGCUGUAA
This 1374-nucleotide long non-coding RNA is filed under the name Anas platyrhynchos platyrhynchos (common mallard). RNAcentral describes it as "lncRNA (ENSAPLG00000020670.1)". Lineage: Eukaryota; Metazoa; Chordata; Aves; Anseriformes; Anatidae. The record is from RNAcentral.